Molecule: unclassified non-coding RNA, 332 nt
Filed under: soil metagenome
Description: partial contains 5.8S ribosomal RNA, internal transcribed spacer 2, and large subunit ribosomal RNA
Rfam family: 5.8S ribosomal RNA (bases 1-120)
Source: RNAcentral
GAUGAAGAACGCAGCGAAAUGCGAUAAGUAGUGUGAAUUGCAGAAUUCAGUGAAUCAUCGAAUCUUUGAACGCACAUUGCGCCCUUUGGUAUUCCUUAGGGCAUGCCUGUUCGAGCGUCAUUUAAACCUUCAAGCUAAGCUUGGUGUUGGGUGACUGUCCGCUUCACGGCGGACUCGCCUCAAAAUUAUUGGCGGCCGGUACAUUGGCUUCGAGCGCAGCAGAAACGCGAACUCGGGCCCGUCGUAUUGGCUCCCAGAAGCUAUCUUCACAAUUUUGACCUCGGAUCAGGUAGGGAUACCCGCUGAACUUAAGCAUAUCAGUAAGCGGAGGA